CGAGUCAGCAAGGUGCUGAGGUGGCCGGCCGGCUCCGCCCUCCUGCACGCCUGGGAGUGGUGUAGGGCUGUGGAGAGGCCCACCCAGCGCACGUUGCUUAUACCACAAGAUUGAAGUCAAUGGGCCUGCCCAUAAAAUGAAAGUCUACCGUGAAGGACUAGAGUGAUGUCCUCUGCUUCCAGGAACUCUUCUCAUUGUAGGCCUUUUGAGGUGAUUAUUCUGACAAACACUUGCUCACGUCUGAAAAAAUGGCACACAUGGUUGGAAGCAGUAUGCGUCUGAAUACCAGCUGCUGGAAAUUACAGAGGUGAUUGC
Podarcis muralis (Common wall lizard) is the source of this 315-nucleotide non-coding RNA. The record is from RefSeq and is a predicted model, not a curated record. NCBI's taxonomy places the organism in Eukaryota, Metazoa, Chordata, Lepidosauria, Squamata, Lacertidae.